Homo sapiens (human) is the source of this 3793-nucleotide RNA transcript. It is a transcript of the gene named FA core complex associated protein 100, with no coding region annotated. The record is from RefSeq and is marked validated. The transcript has 9 exons. Lineage: Eukaryota; Metazoa; Chordata; Mammalia; Primates; Hominidae.
ACUCUGACGGGCCCGCGCGCACGAUGGCCGGCGCCGCGCCGCGGGUCCGCUACCUGGCGGGCUUCUGCUGCCCUCUCGGGGGCCUGGCGGCGGGCAAGCCCCGCGUGCUGUGCCAUGAGGCAGAGGUCUUCCUGUCCACCGGGAGCGAGCUCGUCUACGUGUACGACCAGGAGGGCGGGCUGCUGACCGCGGCGUUCCGGUUCCCCGACCAGGUGUGGCACCUGGAGCUGCUGGCGCCGCGCAGGUUGCUGUACGCGCUGUGCGCCCGGAGGGGCCUCUACUGCCUGUCGCUGGACCACCCGGGCAGGAGCAGGUGAGGGCGGGCCCGCGGCCUCCCUCCCGCACACUCCUGCUGCCCCCGGACUGCUUCAGAGCGAGCAGCCCCACCUCAUCGCGCUUGGGGACCCGGGCUGCCGCCAGCUCUGAAGCCUCGGCCGCCAUCCCUGCCCGAUUAUCUGGAGCCCCUGCCCCCAGCACUCUUUCUGCAAGUGUCUUGCUCACAGUCCUUAGUCUACGAGCCAGGAUGACAGGGACAGCGAGGACGGUGACCAGCCUUCCCCCGUGAUCCCUGUGGACCCCGAUGCCUGCAUCCUUCCCGAUGCUGCGCUGUGCGCGUUCACCUUGCUGGACAGUGUGCUGGUCACCCUGGUGCAGGGCCCUGCCCGAUGGAAGAUGCAGCUGUUUGAGCAGCCCUGUCCUGGGGAGGACCCCCGGCCAGGAGGCCAGAUCGGUGAGGUGGAGCUGUCCUCCUACACGCCCCCAGCCGGGGUCCCAGGAAAGCCUGCAGCCCCCCACUUCCUUCCAGUGCUGUGCUCUGUGUCACCAUCAGGCUCCAGGGUCCCGCACGACCUCCUCGGGGGCUCCGGGGGCUUCACGCUGGAGGACGCCCUCUUCGGGCUCCUCUUUGGAGCUGAUGCCACCCUCCUGCAGUCACCUGUGGUCCUCUGUGGUCUCCCUGAUGGCCAGCUCUGCUGUGUGAUCCUGAAGGCCCUGGUCACCUCCAGGUCAGCCCCUGGUGACCCAAAUGCCCUUGUCAAGAUCCUCCAUCACCUGGAGGAGCCCGUCAUCUUCAUAGGGGCCUUGAAGACAGAGCCACAGGCUGCAGAAGCUGCAGAGAAUUUUCUGCCUGACGAGGAUGUGCACUGUGACUGCCUGGUGGCCUUUGGUCACCACGGCCGGAUGCUGGCCAUCAAGGCCAGCUGGGAUGAGUCCGGGAAGCUGGUGCCCGAGCUGCGGGAGUACUGCCUCCCAGGCCCUGUGCUCUGCGCUGCCUGUGGCGGGGGUGGCCGCGUGUACCACAGCACCCCUUCUGACCUCUGUGUGGUGGAUCUGUCUCGGGGAAGCACCCCGCUGGGCCCUGAGCAGCCCGAAGAAGGCCCGGGAGGCCUGCCCCCCAUGCUGUGCCCAGCCAGCCUGAACAUCUGCAGUGUCGUCUCGCUGUCCGCGUCUCCCAGGACGCAUGAAGGUGGCACCAAGCUCCUGGCCCUGUCCGCCAAAGGCCGCCUGAUGACCUGCAGCCUGGACCUGGACUCUGAGAUGCCUGGCCCAGCCAGGAUGACCACAGAGAGUGCAGGUCAGAAAAUAAAGGAGCUGCUGUCUGGAAUUGGCAACAUCUCUGAGAGAGUGUCUUUUCUAAAGAAGGCGGUUGACCAGCGGAACAAGGCACUGACAAGCCUCAACGAGGCCAUGAACGUGAGCUGUGCACUGCUGUCAAGCGGCACGGGCCCCAGACCCAUCUCCUGCACCACCAGCACCACCUGGAGCCGCCUGCAGACACAGGAUGUGCUCAUGGCCACCUGCGUGCUAGAGAACAGCAGCAGCUUCAGCCUGGACCAGGGGUGGACCCUGUGCAUCCAGGUGCUCACCAGCUCCUGUGCUCUCGACCUGGACUCGGCCUGCUCCGCCAUCACCUACACCAUCCCCGUGGACCAGCUCGGCCCCGGUGCUCGGCGGGAGGUGACGCUACCCCUGGGCCCUGGUGAGAACGGCGGGCUCGACCUGCCCGUGACCGUGUCCUGCACGCUGUUCUACAGUCUCAGGGAGGUGGUGGGCGGGGCCCUUGCCCCCUCAGACUCUGAGGACCCCUUUCUGGAUGAGUGCCCCUCCGACGUCCUGCCCGAGCAAGAGGGUGUUUGCCUGCCCCUGAGCAGGCACACAGUGGACAUGCUGCAGUGUCUGCGCUUCCCUGGCCUGGCCCCGCCACACACACGGGCCCCCUCCCCACUCGGCCCCACCCGAGACCCUGUGGCCACUUUUCUGGAAACUUGUCGGGAGCCUGGCAGCCAGCCAGCAGGACCCGCCUCCCUGCGGGCCGAGUACCUGCCCCCAUCUGUGGCUUCCAUCAAGGUGUCGGCGGAGCUGCUCAGAGCUGCCUUGAAGGACGGCCACUCAGGCGUGCCCCUGUGCUGUGCCACCCUGCAGUGGCUCCUUGCUGAGAAUGCUGCUGUGGACGUCGUGAGGGCCCGAGCACUAUCUUCCAUCCAGGGAGUGGCCCCUGAUGGCGCCAACGUUCACCUCAUCGUCCGAGAGGUGGCCAUGACUGACCUGUGCCCAGCAGGGCCCAUCCAGGCCGUGGAGAUUCAAGUGGAAAGCUCCUCUCUGGCCGACAUUUGCAGGGCGCACCAUGCCGUUGUCGGGCGCAUGCAGACGAUGGUGACAGAGCAGGCCACCCAGGGCUCCAGCGCUCCUGAUCUCCGUGUGCAGUACCUCCGCCAGAUCCACGCCAACCACGAGACACUGCUGCGGGAGGUGCAGACCCUGCGCGACCGGCUCUGCACGGAGGAUGAGGCCAGCUCCUGUGCCACCGCCCAGAGGCUGCUACAGGUGUACCGGCAGCUGCGCCACCCCAGCCUCAUCCUGCUGUGACCAGGCGGGCCUGCCCCUGGGCUCUGGCCACGCUUCCAGCCUCUGUCACAGCCCCCCCAGGCCUCAUGGGUUAGAGGGAAACCGAGCUGGCCUGGCCAGAGCCGUCAGGGAAGGUAGGACCUGGCCACGUAGGAGCAGAACGCUCAUGAAAGUGCUUGGAGGCCGUGGAGCACAAAGCAGAUUCUGAUUGGGAGCAACCGAGGCGGGCUCUGAACCUGGCCGGUCCAGCUUCGCGUCCUCUGCUGGUGUCUCUCCUUCUCUGACCGCGGCCGCAGCCCCUGCACUCGCCUUCCUCACUGCUGGGCAGCCUUCCCACCACCGCAGCAGCCCCUGAGGCCAGGAGGCAGUGCAGGGCAUUCUGGACCCGGAGGGCCAGAGAAACAGGAUUUCUGGGGUUUGGACUUGGGGUGAGUUUGUAACUGUUGCUGCCACACCACCAGGAGCACCGGCUGCCCCUCUGGGUGGCACUACCAGGUGCCCCACGGUACCCUUGUCACACUGUUCACACCUGCCCGGCUGCCCACUCUGGGACCCCGAGGUAGGAGGGUGCUCCCUGAGACCAAAGCACAAAACAGCAUGCAGGGAGCUCCUGCAAGUGCCCGUGGUCUCGUGCCACACCAAGGAAGGGCCAGCGGGUGGCCUGUGGCCGGAAUGCUCAACAACUAGGUGCCUCCAGCCGGGGCAGUACCCAGCACUGUGCACUAUUUUCAGGGCCACUCAGGGUGGCGCUGUGGCCCGGGGGGGGGCCCUGAGCCCCAGCCCCCAGCCUCCUCCCUCAGCCUGGGCUACGGCCCACCUCCUGGUGCUGGUGUUUUCAUCUGGGGAGGGUGCUCGCGCCGCUCCCGCUGCAGGCACUGUCCGCGAUGAGUGCGGGUAGGAGCCGUGAGGUGCUUCUCUGCUGUGACAAACGACCCUGUCUGUCCGUGAA